This 1510-nucleotide long non-coding RNA is filed under the name Bos indicus x Bos taurus (hybrid cattle). Its description in RNAcentral is "lncRNA (ENSBIXG00005016195.1)". Lineage: Eukaryota; Metazoa; Chordata; Mammalia; Artiodactyla; Bovidae. The record is from RNAcentral.
CCGGGUGGCAGGGACCCCCACGUGGCAGCCCCCAGGCUCGCUUUCUCUGGCUCAUCCACCUUCUAGAAGUUUCCCCAGACCCUCAGUAGGAGUGGGCACUGCUGCGGGUGUGCGUUGUGUGUCCUCGUGCCCCAUGUGACGUUGCACGACUAACCGCACUCUGUGUUUGCACCCUUCCUCCCGCGCUCAUGGGACCAGGUAGCGUGGCGGGAACGCAGGGGCUGGAUUCUGCUACAGUCAGGACUUGCUCCUGAUGUGCUUCGGGUUUACCUGCACGAAUUCUCCAGAUGUUUAUACAGCAUCCAGUAUACAACAAAGACUACAUUUUGAACUCGAUGUAAUCUUUACUCUGUUAAUACUUGUUACAUGGACCCGAAGAUAUUACAGGGUUUUUAAUUAGUGAAAAAUUCAUGAAUACCAUAGAGAAAAUAUUUUAGAAUUUAAUGUUUCUGAUAUUUAUGUAAACUUAUGACUUCAUUUAUAUAAUUACUUCCUUUUUCUUGUCUAUUCAGGCUAUGAAUAUCCUUUCAGACCAAUUCAUGUUCUGAUACCUGAUUUCAGUCUUUCAAAUGAAUGUACUGUAGUGCUUGUCUGUAUAAAUCCUAUGAACAAACACAGGGCUUUUGUAAAUGAUGCAUUUAUUGUAAUUAUUCUUGUUUAAUUUUUCAAUGUUAAACCAUGAGAGAAGGGGUUUUCCUGCGAUUGUAAAAUCAUCAUGACACGGUGUGCUUUAUUAUCCUUCCAGAAUGUAACCAAGCUCUCCAACAAUCACUCUGAAAUAAGCAAACUUAAUUUCAACCAAUUGUUGUUGUAUGUUAACGACUGGCCUAAACUGUACUUUUUCUAGCAAGAAAUGCUUUUUGUCUGCAGCGUGAAGUGAUUUAAAAGUACUGGGUGUUAAAUGUGAGCUUCUAAUGAAAUUUGGGCUGAAAGGAUGCCUAGAAGACUAUGAAAAUCUGUGGACCUGGAUCCCUCCUGUCUGGUGAGACUCUUUGGGGACCAAUCGCGAUGCCCUGCACCCGCUGCAGAGCCAUCGAGCUGGACAGUGAAGGUGCCACUUCCCAGACAGACAAGGUAGUGUAGCUCUGUCAAAGGCCUUAUUUUUAUGUAAAUCAUCUUUUUACAUGAUUGUAAACAUGUUUAAAGAAUGGACCUAGGUGUACAUUUUUAGAUUGUGAUGACAUAGCCAUUCUGGAUUGUAUAAGUAGCAAAUGUAAUUUUUACUUUUUCAGUGGCACAUUAAAAAAGCCAGCAAGAGAUGCGUUCAGGUCACAGUGUGGUAUUUAUUAUGCAGCUGGUAUCUUGGUAGACAGAGACAGCAUGUCUCUUUACAUGUGGGUUCCGCCUUUAAUUUACUUGUACAAUUCAUUGUUAUCAUUCUAUUUUCCUAUUAAUCUUUUGUGAACUUCCCGAAUAUGUGACAAAGUAUGUACAGUCUACUUUUGAACUAUUUUUAUCACAGUAUUAUUUAUUGCUUUCUUUCAAUAAAGUACUGAAGCAAAAUUUCCCA